CAGUAGCCGCGGUAAUACGGAGGGUGCAAGCGUUAAUCGGAAUUACUGGGCGUAAAGCGCACGCAGGCGGUCUGACAAGUCAGAUGUGAAAUCCCCGGGCUUAACCUGGGAACUGCAUUUGAAACUGUCAGGCUGGAGUCUUGUAGAGGGGGGUAGAAUUCCAGGUGUAGCGGUGAAAUGCGUAGAGAUCUGGAGGAAUACCGGUGGCGAAGGCGGCCCCCUGGACAAAGACUGACGCUCAGGUGCGAAAGCGUGGGGAGCAAACAGGAUUAGAGACCCCUGUAGUCCCUGUCUCUUAUAC
RNAcentral lists this ribosomal RNA (301 nucleotides) under uncultured bacterium. RNAcentral describes it as "partial 16S ribosomal RNA". It matches the Rfam family "Bacterial small subunit ribosomal RNA", at positions 509 to 807 of the family's 1533-position model. The record is from RNAcentral.